UAACCUACCUAUAAGACGUGGGAUACUGGAAACCGGAGCUAAUACCGGAUAAUAUAUUGAACCGCAUGGUUCAAUGGUGAAAGACGGUUUUGCUGUCACUUAUAGAUGGAUCCGCGCCGCAUUAGCUAGUUGGUAAGGUAACGGCUUACCAAGGCAACGAUGCGUAGCCGACCUGAGAGGGUGAUCGGCCACACUGGAACUGAGACACGGUCCAGACUCCUACGGGAGGCAGCAGCU
Molecule: ribosomal RNA, 237 nt
Filed under: uncultured Staphylococcus sp.
Lineage: Bacteria; Bacillati; Bacillota; Bacilli; Caryophanales; Staphylococcaceae
Description: partial 16S ribosomal RNA
Rfam family: Bacterial small subunit ribosomal RNA
Source: RNAcentral